RNAcentral lists this transfer RNA (88 nucleotides) under Escherichia coli. RNAcentral describes it as "tRNA-Ser". It matches the Rfam family "tRNA". From Rfam's summary of the family: Transfer RNA (tRNA) molecules are approximately 80 nucleotides in length. The record is from RNAcentral. Lineage: Bacteria; Pseudomonadati; Pseudomonadota; Gammaproteobacteria; Enterobacterales; Enterobacteriaceae. RNAcentral also lists the same sequence under 1 other name.
GGAAGUGUGGCUGAGCGGUUGAAGGCACCGGUCUUGAAAACCGGCGACCCGAAAGGGUUCCAGAGUUCGAAUCUCUGCGCUUCCGCCA